UCCCUCCUCCGUGGCUCGCAUAGCAGGAGAAGAGCCGCUGAGUGGGGAGGAGAGAGGGACAGAGAGCCUGCUUCUUUAAAGGAGCAAAGCGGGAGAGGAGAGGAGCCGCUUACAUGAGUGUAAGCGGCUCCUGUCCGGUUGGUUCCUUUAAAGCAAGCAGGCUCUCUGUCCCUCUCUCCUCCCCACUCAGCUCGGUAAUUUUCAGCUCGCUAAGCGGGGGGU
Molecule: microRNA precursor, 222 nt
Filed under: Podarcis lilfordi (Lilford's wall lizard)
Lineage: Eukaryota; Metazoa; Chordata; Lepidosauria; Squamata; Lacertidae
Source: RNAcentral